RNAcentral lists this ribosomal RNA (780 nucleotides) under uncultured bacterium. RNAcentral's name for it is "bacterial SSU rRNA". It matches the Rfam family "Bacterial small subunit ribosomal RNA", at positions 87 to 884 of the family's 1533-position model. The record is from RNAcentral.
AAAGGACAGCGGCGGACGGGUGAGUAACGCGUAGGCAACCUGCCCCUGACAGAGGGAUAGCCAUUGGAAACGAUGAUUAAAACCUCAUAAUGCCGAAGGAACACAUGUUCCAUCGGCCAAAGAUUUAUCGGUCAGGGAUGGGCCUGCGUCUGAUUAACUAGUUGGUGAGGUAACGGCCCACCAAGGUGACGAUCAGUAGCCGACCUGAGAGGGUGAUCGGCCACAUUGGAACUGAGACACGGUCCAAACUUCUACGGAAGGCAGCAGUAGGGAAUCUUGCACAAUGGGCGAAAGCCUGAUGCAGCAACGCCGCGUGAAGGAUGAAGGCCUUCGGGUUGUAAACUUCUGUUCUUAGGGAAGAAGAAAGUGACGGUACCUAAGGAGAAAGCCCCGGCUAACUACGUGCCAGCAGCCGCGGUAAUACGUAGGGGGCAAGCGUUAUCCGGAAUUAUUGGGCGUAAAGAGUGCGUAGGUGGUUAUCUAAGCGUAAGGUUUAAGCGUGCAGCUCAACUGCAUCUCGCCUUGCGAACUGGACUACUUGAGUGCAGGAGGGGAAAGCGGAAUUCCUAGUGUAGCGGUGAAAUGCGUAGAUAUUAGGAGGAACACCAGCGGCGAAGGCGGCUUUCUGGACUGUAACUGACACUGAGGCACGAAAGCGUGGGGAGCAAACAGGAUUAGAUACCCUGGUAGUCCACGCCGUAAACGAUGAGCACUAGAUGUUGGUCCCGAAGGGAUCGGUGUCGCAGUUAACGCAAUAAGUGCUCCGCCUGGGGGAGUACG